CCCUGCCAUUUGUACACACCGCCCGUCGCUACUACCGAUUGAGCGUUUUAGUGAGGACCUCGGACUGAGGAGGGCGUGGUUAACGCCGUGCCCCCGUCGGAAAGACGUCCAAACUGUAGCGCUUAGAGGAAGUAAAAGUCGUAACAAGGUUUC
This 153-nucleotide ribosomal RNA is filed under the name uncultured eukaryote. Its description in RNAcentral is "partial small subunit ribosomal RNA". It matches the Rfam family "Eukaryotic small subunit ribosomal RNA", at positions 1651 to 1803 of the family's 1831-position model. The record is from RNAcentral.